This is a long non-coding RNA of Lontra canadensis (Northern American river otter), 381 nucleotides long. RefSeq lists it as uncharacterized. NCBI's taxonomy places the organism in Eukaryota, Metazoa, Chordata, Mammalia, Carnivora, Mustelidae. The record is from RefSeq and is a predicted model, not a curated record. The transcript has 3 exons.
UAAAGAAAUACAUGGAAGAUCAAGAGCCUCUCAAACAGAGAGGUGGGCUUUGAGAUGGGGAGUGAGAUGAUCCACCUCUGCGCGGAAAGUUCUCUCUGAGUGCAGUGUGGAGCGAGCAAGGGAGGAGGCCAUGAGAAGCCAGCAGCCCCCAGGAGUGGCCCCAGGUGCCCAGGGUGGGACAAGGAGGAGAUAGAACCAUCCCCACCACUGAAAAGAAUAGCACAAAGGACUAGACACCUGCUUUGGGGGGGCCCAUGCAGGGUGCAGUGGGAUCCUGUGAUGGCCCGAGAUGGGAUGAUGCUGGAGCUAUGUUCUUCUGGGACAGGAUUGCUGCUGAACACGAUCUUCCUGCUGGGGAACUGGGCGGCCCUGAGGACCUGG